GAUGAACGCUGGCGGCGUGCCUAAUACAUGCAAGUCGAGCGAAUGGAUUAAGAGCUUGCUCUUAUGAAGUUAGCGGCGGACGGGUGAGUAACACGUGGGUAACCUGCCCAUAAGACUGGGAUAACUCCGGGAAACCGGGGCUAAUACCGGAUAACAUUUUGAACCGCAUGGUUCGAAAUUGAAAGGCGGCUUCGGCUGUCACUUAUGGAUGGACCCGCGUCGCAUUAGCUAGUUGGUGAGGUAACGGCUCACCAAGGCAACGAUGCGUAGCCGACCUGAGAGGGUGAUCGGCCACACUGGGACUGAGACACGGCCCAGACUCCUACGGGAGGCAGCAGUAGGGAAUCUUCCGCAAUGGACGAAAGGCUGACGGAGCAACGCCGCGUGAGUGAGGAAGGCUUUUGGGUCGUAAAACUCUGUUGUUAGGGAAGAACAAGUGCUAGUUGAAUAAGCUGGCACCUUGACGGUACCUAACCAGAAAGCCACGGCUAACUACGUGCCAGCCGCCGCGGUAA
This 515-nucleotide ribosomal RNA is filed under the name uncultured bacterium. RNAcentral describes it as "partial 16S ribosomal RNA". It matches the Rfam family "Bacterial small subunit ribosomal RNA", at positions 28 to 523 of the family's 1533-position model. The record is from RNAcentral.